ACGGGGUGCAGCAGGCGCGAAACCUUUGCAAUGUGCGAAAGCACGACAAGGUUAAUCCGAGUGUCUCCUGCUAAAGGAGUCUUUUGUCAGUUGUAGAAUCACUGAUGAAUAAGGGGUGGGCAAGUUCUGGUGUCAGCCGCCGCGGUAAAACCAGCACCUCGAGUGGUCAGGAGGUUUAUUGGGCCUAAAGCAUCCGUAGCCGGUUGCAUAAGUUUUCGGUUAAAUCUAUGCGCUCAACGUAUAGGCCGCCGAAAAUACUGUGCAGCUAGGGAGUGGGAGAGGUACACGGUACUCAAUAGGAAGGGGUAAAAUCCUUUGAUCUAUUGAUGACCACCUGUGGCGAAGGCGGUGUACCAGAACACGUUCGACGGUGAGGGAUGAAAGCUGGGGGAGCAAACCGGAUUAGAUACCCGGGUAGUCCCAGCUGUAAACGAUGCAGACUCGGUGAUGCAUUGGCUUGUGGCCAAUGCAGUGCCGCAGGGAAGCCGUUAAGUCUGCCGCCUGGGAAGUACGUACGCAAGUAUGAAACUUAAAGGAAUUCGCGGGGGAGCAC
This 553-nucleotide ribosomal RNA is filed under the name uncultured Nitrososphaerota archaeon. Its description in RNAcentral is "bacterial SSU rRNA". It matches the Rfam family "Archaeal small subunit ribosomal RNA", at positions 325 to 879 of the family's 1478-position model. Lineage: Archaea; Thermoproteati; Nitrososphaerota. The record is from RNAcentral.